AGUGAACGCUGGCGGCGUGCUUAACACAUGCAAGUCGAACGAGAACGGCUUAUAGCUUGCUAUAAUUGUCAGCUAAGUGGCGCACGGGUGAGUAAUGUAUAGGUAAUAUGCCUCUUACUAAGGGAUAACAAAUGGAAACGUUUGCUAAUACCUUAUACUCCUUAUUAACAUAAGUUAAUAAUGGGAAGAUUUAUUGGUAAGAGAUUAGCCUGUAUUGUAUCAGUUAGUUGGUGGGGUAAUGGCUUACCAAGACUAUGACACAUAACUGGUUUGAGAGGAUGAUCAGUCACACUGGAACUGAGACACGGUCCAGACUCCUACGGGAGGCAGCAGUGGGGAAUAUUGCACAAUGGACGAAAGUCUGAUGCAGCAACGCCGCGUGGAGGAUGACACAUUUCGGUGCGUAAACUCCUUUUAUAUGAGAAGAUAAUGACGGUAUUAUAUGAAUAAGCACCGGCUAACUCCGUGCCAGCCGCCGCCGUAA
Molecule: ribosomal RNA, 484 nt
Filed under: uncultured bacterium
Lineage: Bacteria
Description: partial 16S ribosomal RNA
Rfam family: Bacterial small subunit ribosomal RNA
Source: RNAcentral